GCCCCUGUAACUCAAUUGGUUAGAGUGUCGGUCUUAUGAGCCGAAAGUUGCGGGUUCAAGUCCCGCCAGGAGCA
Molecule: transfer RNA, 74 nt
Organism: Ectocarpus siliculosus
Lineage: Eukaryota; Phaeophyceae; Ectocarpales; Ectocarpaceae
Rfam family: tRNA
About the family: Transfer RNA (tRNA) molecules are approximately 80 nucleotides in length. Their secondary structure includes four short double-helical elements and three loops (D, anti-codon, and T loops). Further hydrogen bonds mediate the characteristic L-shaped molecular structure. tRNAs have two regions of fundamental functional importance: the anti-codon, which is responsible for specific mRNA codon recognition, and the 3' end, to which the tRNAs corresponding amino acid is attached (by aminoacyl-tRNA synthetases). tRNAs cope with the degeneracy of the genetic code in two manners: having more than one tRNA (with a specific anti-codon) for a particular amino acid; and 'wobble' base-pairing, i.e. permitting non-standard base-pairing at the 3rd anti-codon position.
Source: Rfam